GUGCCAGCCGCCGCGGUAAUACCGGCAGCCCGAGUGAUGGCCGAUCUUAUUGGGCCUAAAGCGUCCGUAGCUGGCUGCGCAAGUCCGUCGGGAAAUCCACUCGCCCAACUGAUGGGCGUCCGGCGGAAACUGCACGGCUUGGGACCGGAAGGCUCGAGAGGUACGUCCGGGGUAGGAGUGAAAUCCCGUAAUCCCGAACGGACCACCGAUGGCGAAAGCACUUCGAGAAAACGGAUCCGACAGUGAGGGACGAAAGCCAGGGUCUCCAACCGGAUUAGAAACCCUGGUAGUCC
Molecule: ribosomal RNA, 293 nt
Filed under: uncultured bacterium
Lineage: Bacteria
Description: partial 16S ribosomal RNA
Rfam family: Archaeal small subunit ribosomal RNA
Source: RNAcentral